RNAcentral lists this long non-coding RNA (840 nucleotides) under Homo sapiens (human). Its description in RNAcentral is "HSALNT0293351". Lineage: Eukaryota; Metazoa; Chordata; Mammalia; Primates; Hominidae. The record is from RNAcentral.
GAAUCAUUUCUGGUUGGGGCCACAGAGUGGGGUUGGCAGGUCCAGGUGGAACCAUGGGUGUUAGACAUGAAAAAAACCUGAAAAUAUAUGUCAAAGUUCAAUCUUAGGUUCCACAGUAGAGAUUCUAUUUGCAGCAGUAAUUGGAGAAGUUGCGUAUCUUACACCUCUGGAAUAAUGGCUGACAAUCGUUUACGUCUCAGCCUUAGAAAGACCUAGUCUCCUCUCCUUCCCUGAGCCUGAUGGCUUUACAAAAGUGGUUGAGUUUUCUGGUUUCUGAUAACUUUGAAGAUUGUGACACUAGAAUAGAAGAAACAACUUUCAGAACUCUCGUGGAAAACUGGAAUGUUCAUGAAUAUUAAACAGAACAGGAGUUAACUGCAUGGACUGAACUACAGAAGCUAUUCACAGCUUGAAGCAAUUAAGUAAAGUAUACUCCUAUAAACAAAAUUUGGAGCAUAUUUGUUUCUCUCUACCUAAUUUCUCCAGAAUUUGGAAACUAUUUAUGAGCCAUGUGAUGUCAGAAGUGUGAUGUGCCAUGCUCCACUACAGACAGGAAGUGGAAUAGCCAGGAACUUGAAUCCAAGCCUUCUUAUGCCAAAAUUCUCCUUUGAUACGUGAAGGCAGCCUCAUCACUCCAAAGGUUUCUGGAACUGAAAUAAUAACAUCAUGUCUUGUUAUUGGAACAAUAUAUCAAAAGACAAGCAAAUAUAAAGCUAAUUCUCUGUGGAAUGAUACUUUCAAGUUGGAAUUUAUGUUACAUUAACCUAUUGUUUGAGAGGUUAUAUAUGAUGAUAUUUUUGCCUUAAAUAUUAUUUGACUAGUGUGGGUUUACCAAGCUAA